UACGUAGGGUGCGAGCGUUAAUCGGAAUUACUGGGCGUAAAGCGUGCGCAGGCGGUUGUGCAAGACAGAUGUGAAAUCCCCGGGCUUAACCUGGGAACUGCAUUUGUGACUGCACGGCUAGAGUGUGUCAGAGGGGGGUAGAAUUCCACGUGUAGCAGUGAAAUGCGUAGAGAUGUGGAGGAACACCGAUGGCGAAGGCAGCCCCCUGGGUCAAGAUUGACGCUCAUGCACGAAAGCGUGGGGAGCAAACAGG
This 253-nucleotide ribosomal RNA is filed under the name uncultured bacterium. Its description in RNAcentral is "partial 16S ribosomal RNA". It matches the Rfam family "Bacterial small subunit ribosomal RNA", at positions 524 to 776 of the family's 1533-position model. The record is from RNAcentral.